CCUCCCUCCCUCCCUCCAUCCUUCUCUCUCUCCUUCCCUCCCUCCCUCCUUCCUUCCAUACCACCUUGCGAAAGCGUGUUGAUACCACCACUGCCAGCUCCUCUACUUCCAGCUCACUGGGAGUUUUCUCAAUAGCAUGACGUAUUAAGAAACACAGUGCUGUCAUAUGAGGGUGGGUAACACCCCGAAUCCACAGAGGAAAGCCCCAAAGAAAGGGGCUUACCUCCCAUCCCAAAGCCUUACAGUGGAAAUGCACCAGUACGUUCCAUGUCAGAUCAUCUCUUCCCCAGGAACACCCAUCAAGCCCUACCUGUUCAGCUGUGUUCGUAACAGUGGCACCUAAAUAAACACUCCAGAUCUGAGGAUGAAGAGAAUAUUUGCUACUCCCAUAUAAGUAAUUAACGGAUUGAUCUAUUACCCUGUGAUCUGCACAAGGCUGGCCCUUACUACACAUUGUAAUGCCAGUUUCUAUGGAAAACCAGGGAAAUAGAGCUUAUAAAGCAAGAAUUUAUGAAGAGAGAGAAACAUCAAGUUGUUGUCCUGGGCUCCAUAUGUGAAUUAAAUAUAUAUAUAUAUAUGUAUGUAUGUAUGUAUGUAUAUUUAUACAUACAGUAAGAUACACUUGCAGGACAAGUAUAUCUUACCAUUUCCUGGAGAAGCAAUUGUUUCUGCAGUUGUGUCUGUGCUGCUCUCUUCUGGCUUUCCGAGACACAUAUGAAAGGAAAGAGAAGUGAUGGAAUUUCCUCAGACAUCAGUACCUCAUGACACCAAAAUGUUAAUUUGCUCAGCUCACAUUGAUUCUACUUCGAAAAUUUACAGAUUUCCUCUGCUUUCAAACAUCUUUGAUCAGCAGCCAUAUGGUUAAUGUUACUUUUAAGCAAUUGCUGGGCAUCCAGAUUUGCUCUCUUCAAGAAAUAAGCGCUGUUCACAAUGCUCAAAUCAAUUUCUGCAGCAGCUAUUGAAUAAGAUUGUGUGUGUGUGUGAUUUUUUUUAACCAUAAGAUAAAUUAUAGCAUGAAAUAUCAAUAUUUAAAACAAACAGACAUCAUCCCAUAAUAAAUAUAAUUUAAAAUACA
This 1075-nucleotide long non-coding RNA is filed under the name Cyanistes caeruleus (blue tit). RNAcentral's name for it is "lncRNA (ENSCCEG00000005146.1)". Lineage: Eukaryota; Metazoa; Chordata; Aves; Passeriformes; Paridae. The record is from RNAcentral.